GACGAACGCUGGCGGCGUGCCUAAUACAUGCAAGUCGAGCGGAAUGAAGAAGAAGCUUGCUUCUUCUGAUUUUAGCGGCGGACGGGUGAGUAACACGUGGGCAACCUACCUUGUAGAUUGGGAUAACUCCGGGAAACCGGGGCUAAUACCGAAUAAUCCAUUUUGCUUCAUGGCGAGAUGUUAAAAGGCGGCUUCGGCUGUCACUACAAGAUGGGCCCGCGGCGCAUUAGCUAGUUGGUAGGGUAAUGGCCUACCAAGGCGACGAUGCGUAGCCGACCUGAGAGGGUGAUCGGCCACACUGGGACUGAGACACGGCCCAGACUCCUACGGGAGGCAGCAGUAGGGAAUCUUCCACAAUGGACGAAAGUCUGAUGGAGCAACGCCGCGUGAGUGAAGAAGGUUUUCGGAUCGUAAAACUCUGUUGUAAGGGAAGAACACGUACGAGAGUAACUGCUCGUACCUUGACGGUACCUUAUUAGAAAGCCACGGCUAACUACGUG
This 500-nucleotide ribosomal RNA is filed under the name uncultured bacterium. RNAcentral describes it as "bacterial SSU rRNA". It matches the Rfam family "Bacterial small subunit ribosomal RNA", at positions 28 to 507 of the family's 1533-position model. The record is from RNAcentral.